CCUACGGGAGGCAGCAGUGAGGAAUAUUGGUCAAUGGACGAGAGUCUGAACCAGCCAAGUAGCGUGAAGGAUGACUGCCCUAUGGGUUGUAAACUUCUUUUAUAUGGGAAUAAAAUGUUCCACGUGUGGGAUUUUGUAUGUACCAUAUGAAUAAGGAUCGGCUAACUCCGUGCCAGCAGCCGCGGUAAUACGGAGGAUCCGAGCGUUAUCCGGAUUUAUUGGGGUUAAAGGGAGCGUAGGUGGAUUGUUAAGUCAGUUGUGAAAGUUUGCGGCUCAACCGUAAAAUUGCAGUUGAAACUGGCAGUCUUGAGUACAGUAGAGGUGGGCGGAAUUCGUGGUGUAGCGGUGAAAUGCUUAGAUAUCACGAAGAACUCCGAUUGCGAAGGCAGUUCACUGGACUGCAACUGACACUGAGGCUCGAAAGUGUGGGUAUCAAACAGGAUUAGAUACCCUUGUAU
This 458-nucleotide ribosomal RNA is filed under the name uncultured bacterium. Its description in RNAcentral is "partial 16S ribosomal RNA". It matches the Rfam family "Bacterial small subunit ribosomal RNA", at positions 338 to 793 of the family's 1533-position model. The record is from RNAcentral.